RNAcentral lists this ribosomal RNA (380 nucleotides) under uncultured eukaryote. Its description in RNAcentral is "partial 18S ribosomal RNA". It matches the Rfam family "Eukaryotic small subunit ribosomal RNA", at positions 592 to 976 of the family's 1831-position model. The record is from RNAcentral.
CAAUAGCGUAUAUUAAAGUUGUUGCAGUUAAGAAGCUCGUAGUUGGAUUUGUGGCGUACGGUGGGUUCCGGGCACUUGUUGUCUGAGUAACUUGCUGUUGCCAUCCUUGGGUGGAACCUGUGUGGCAUUAGGUUGUCGUGCAGGGGAUGCCCAUCAUUUACUGUGAAAAAAUUAGAGUGUUCAAAGCAGGCUUAUGCCGUUGAAUAUAUUAGCAUGGAAUAAUGAGAUAGGACUUUUUUGCUAUUUUGUUGGUUUGCGCAAAGAGGUAAUGAUUAAUAGGGACAGUUGGGGGUAUUCGUAUUCCAUUGUCAGAGGUGAAAUUCUUGGAUUUUUGGAAGACGAACUACUGCGAAAGCAUUUACCAAGGAUGUUUUCAUUAA